GGCUAACUCCACUAAGGUUGCCGCUCAUUCGGGAAUUCACAGGAUGUCCUGAUUUCUGUGGGUCUCUCCCAGUGGGCAGUUAAGUCGCCCAAAUCAUUUUGGAUGCCAUAUUUCAUCAGCAUGAUGUAACGGUGUUGGGUCAAGGCCUGGAGAUACAAACAUCAUAGUUAUUCUAGGAACAGGUUGGAUUUAGGGACCGAAAGCUAACCUAAGUGGGGGGACACCAAAACCCUCCUUCCCUCCUGCGGCUGUUGCAGCUCUUGAUCCAGGCUGAGGAGGAUGCAAAGCAGUACCUGUUCAGAUGAGCCCGCUGCUGGGAGAUCCCACUCUGAUAUUAAGUAAGAGCUGUGCAUGGAUUUCGUUUUCAUGAGAGUGACACACCAACAGGACUGGCACCAGUCAGGGUCACAUAUGUUGGAACAUGUUUUGCCCUGGCUUUCUCUGCAAACAGGAAAUAACAGUUCUGCUGCAGCCCUGUGGUAUGAAAGCUCAUUACCAGGAAGAACUUCAGUGCAGUUAACAUCUCGUCAUACACUUCUCUCGUCAGGAUGGUGGGCCUUGGUCAGCGUUUCCCUGGAGCGAGCAGGUUUCUCAAAGCUGCGCUUAGUGACAGGGUGAAUACAACCUUUGCCAGCGCUCAUUUUUUGAUACUUGUGAGCUGUUUUCUCCUGGGUCCUGCCAAUUCUGGUUCUUUUCCCCAUGUUCCACUAAGUUCUCCCUGUAUCCCCCUACACUGGAGGGAACAUUGGCUCCUCCCCAUCCCCUCCAGAGCCCCGAGGAUACACCGGGGUGAAAGUAACUUAAAGGACUUACUGCUACGCC
Molecule: long non-coding RNA, 822 nt
Organism: Gopherus evgoodei (Goodes thornscrub tortoise)
Lineage: Eukaryota; Metazoa; Chordata; Testudines; Testudinidae
Exons: 3
Source: RefSeq, a predicted model, not a curated record